GGUGCUCAGUGCUAGAGCACUUGCCUUGCAUGCAUGAGGCCCUGGGUUCGAUUCCUCAGCACCA
Molecule: transfer RNA, 64 nt
Filed under: Dipodomys ordii (Ord's kangaroo rat)
Lineage: Eukaryota; Metazoa; Chordata; Mammalia; Rodentia; Heteromyidae
Rfam family: tRNA
About the family: Transfer RNA (tRNA) molecules are approximately 80 nucleotides in length.
Source: Rfam by way of RNAcentral